This is a small nucleolar RNA of Anser brachyrhynchus (Pink-footed goose), 67 nucleotides long. Its record names the gene SNORD42. It matches the Rfam family "Small nucleolar RNA SNORD42". From Rfam's summary of the family: snoRNA U42 is found in intron 3 of the ribosomal protein L23a (RPL23a) gene in humans and is also present in mice. NCBI's taxonomy places the organism in Eukaryota, Metazoa, Chordata, Aves, Anseriformes, Anatidae. The record is from Ensembl.
GUGCAGAUGAUGUUAACGUGUUUUACCCCUGAGUGAAGUGAUGUUUCCAAAGGAACCACUGAUGCAC